RNAcentral lists this ribozyme (79 nucleotides) under unclassified sequences. RNAcentral describes it as "HDV ribozyme from F. prausnitzii". It matches the Rfam family "HDV ribozyme from F. prausnitzii". The record is from RNAcentral.
GCUGCUCGAAACUUUGCACACCUCUUCGUGGUGAGCAGCAGGCAACGCAGUAUGGAUUACUGUGGCUAAGAAUGCAGAG